CACUUUCGGAAGAUGAAGUAAUAUCACUAUAAUGAUCGGUG
This 41-nucleotide non-coding RNA is filed under the name Plasmodium falciparum 3D7. The record is from RNAcentral. Lineage: Eukaryota; Apicomplexa; Aconoidasida; Haemosporida; Plasmodiidae.